This 232-nucleotide transfer-messenger RNA is filed under the name Actinomycetota bacterium. RNAcentral's name for it is "Actinobacteria bacterium partial transfer-messenger RNA". It matches the Rfam family "transfer-messenger RNA", at positions 1 to 248 of the family's 374-position model. Rfam says of the family: Bacterial tmRNA, also known as 10Sa RNA or SsrA, is named for its dual tRNA and mRNA-like properties. Its role is to liberate the mRNA from a stalled ribosome. To accomplish this part of the tmRNA is used as a reading frame that ends in a translation stop signal. Lineage: Bacteria; Bacillati; Actinomycetota. The record is from RNAcentral.
GGGGGUGUACUGGCUUCGAGCAGGGCGGUUAUCGCCUGGGAGAAGCGGGCCGAGAUCUCCGGAGUCUCGUAAAACGCCGGAAUCAACACAAGCGCCAACCAUGAGAACGCGCUCGCUGCCUAGCCAAUAGGUAGCUGUCCGUCCGGGAGAGGCCUGCGGCCCGGACAGGACAUCGCAAGCAGGCCUCACCGAGGAGGUUCCGUCCGGGGGCCUCCGAGGGACAUCUCACCCG